RNAcentral lists this transfer RNA (66 nucleotides) under Streptomyces zagrosensis. Its description in RNAcentral is "tRNA-Arg". It matches the Rfam family "tRNA", at positions 14 to 71 of the family's 71-position model. From Rfam's summary of the family: Transfer RNA (tRNA) molecules are approximately 80 nucleotides in length. Their secondary structure includes four short double-helical elements and three loops (D, anti-codon, and T loops). Lineage: Bacteria; Bacillati; Actinomycetota; Actinomycetes; Kitasatosporales; Streptomycetaceae. The record is from RNAcentral.
AUCACUGGACAGCGCAGGCGCCUUCUAAGCGCUUGGCCGCAGGUUCGAGUCCUGCCGGGGGCGCCA